GACGAACGCUGGCGGCGUGCUUAACACAUGCAAGUCGAACGGAAAGGCCCUGCUUUUGUGGGGUGCUCGAGUGGCGAAAGGGUGAGUAACACGUGAGUAACCUGCCCUUGACUUUGGGAUAACUUCAGGAAACUGGGGCUAAUACCGGAUAGGAGCUCCUGCUGCAUGGUGGGGGUUGGAAAGUUUCGGCGGUUGGGGAUGGACUCGCGGCUUAUCAGCUUGUUGGUGGGGUAGUGGCUUACCAAGGCUUUGACGGGUAGCCGGCCUGAGAGGGUGACCGGCCACAUUGGGACUGAGAUACGGCCCAGACUCCUACGGGAGGCAGCAGUGGGGAAUAUUGCACAAUGGGCGGAAGCCUGAUGCAGCAACGCCGCGUGCGGGAUGACGGCCUUCGGGUUGUAACCCGCUUUCGCCUGUGACGAAGCGUGAGUGACGGUAAUGGGUAAAGAAGCACCGGCUAACUACGUG
Molecule: ribosomal RNA, 468 nt
Filed under: uncultured bacterium
Lineage: Bacteria
Description: partial 16S ribosomal RNA
Rfam family: Bacterial small subunit ribosomal RNA
Source: RNAcentral